Molecule: ribosomal RNA, 484 nt
Filed under: uncultured bacterium
Lineage: Bacteria
Description: partial 16S ribosomal RNA
Rfam family: Bacterial small subunit ribosomal RNA
Source: RNAcentral
AUUGAACGCUGGCGGCAGGCCUAACACAUGCAAGUCGAGCGGAUGAAGGGAGCUUGCUCCUGGAUUCAGCGGCGGACGGGUGAGUAAUGCCUAGGAAUCUGCCUAGUAGUGUGGGAUAACGUCCGGAAACGGGCGCUAUUACCGCAUACGUCCUUAGGGAGUAAGUGGGGGAUCUUCGGACCUCCCGCUAUCAGAUGAGCCUAGGUCGGAUUAGCUAGUUGGUGGGGUAAAGGCCUACCAAGGCGACGAUCCGUAACUGGUCUGAGAGGAUGAUCAGUCACACUGGAACUGAGACACGGUCCAGACUCCUACGGGAGGCAGCAGUGGGGAAUAUUGGACAAUGGGCGAAAGCCUGAUCCAGCCAUGCCGCGUGUGUGAAGAAGGUCUUCGGAUUGUAAAGCACUUUAAGUUGGGAGGAAGGGCAGUAAGUUAAUACCUUGCUGUUUUGACGGUACCAACAGAAUAAGCACCGGCUAACUUCGUG